RNAcentral lists this ribosomal RNA (768 nucleotides) under Mycetocola sp. RNAcentral describes it as "bacterial SSU rRNA". It matches the Rfam family "Bacterial small subunit ribosomal RNA", at positions 43 to 824 of the family's 1533-position model. Lineage: Bacteria; Bacillati; Actinomycetota; Actinomycetes; Micrococcales; Microbacteriaceae. The record is from RNAcentral.
CGUGCUUAACACAUGCAAGUCGAACGAUGAAGCCCAGCUUGCUGGGUGGAUUAGUGGCGAACGGGUGAGUAACACGUGAGUAACCUGCCCUUGACUCUGGGAUAAGCGUUGGAAACGACGUCUAAUACCGGAUACGAGCUUCCACCGCAUGGUGAGUUGCUGGAAAGAAUUUUGGUCAAGGAUGGACUCGCGGCCUAUCAGCUUGUUGGUGAGGUAACGGCUCACCAAGGCGACGACGGGUAGCCGGCCUGAGAGGGUGACCGGCCACACUGGGACUGAGACACGGCCCAGACUCCUACGGGAGGCAGCAGUGGGGAAUAUUGCACAAUGGGCGAAAGCCUGAUGCAGCAACGCCGCGUGAGGGACGACGGCCUUCGGGUUGUAAACCUCUUUUAGCAGGGAAGAAGCGAAAGUGACGGUACCUGCAGAAAAAGCACCGGCUAACUACGUGCCAGCAGCCGCGGUAAUACGUAGGGUGCAAGCGUUGUCCGGAAUUAUUGGGCGUAAAGAGCUCGUAGGCGGUUUGUCGCGUCUGCUGUGAAAUCCCGAGGCUCAACCUCGGGUCUGCAGUGGGUACGGGCAGACUAGAGUGCGGUAGGGGAGAUUGGAAUUCCUGGUGUAGCGGUGGAAUGCGCAGAUAUCAGGAGGAACACCGAUGGCGAAGGCAGAUCUCUGGGCCGCUACUGACGCUGAGGAGCGAAAGGGUGGGGAGCAAACAGGCUUAGAUACCCUGGUAGUCCACCCCGUAAACGUUGGGCGCUAGAUGUG